Molecule: long non-coding RNA, 438 nt
Organism: Protopterus annectens (West African lungfish)
Lineage: Eukaryota; Metazoa; Chordata; Ceratodontiformes; Protopteridae
Exons: 2
Source: RefSeq, a predicted model, not a curated record
UUAACCUGUUCCUGUUUCAACACUGCACUGGGAAUUUCCUAUCACUAAAAACCAAGGGAUUUCAUAGAACCUAGAGGUCACAGCUACAAGAGAAGUGAAAUGGCUGUCUGUAUUUAUGUUACACUUUAUCAAUGCCGAUUAAUCAGGCAGUACAUAUACCGAAACAUGCUUAGAAGCUAAGUCGUACACAAGGUGCCAUGGAAUAUUUACUAUCACCUGAACCACUAUCAGCUCGGACAGAUAAGAGAACACCCUGGAAGUGCAGCACUUACAUCAUGCAACACUACAAUGUCAGUGCUGGAAUAUGAAUCAGUAGUCUUCUGUAUAUUGUUCAGAUUAUGCAUAUUGUGAUGAUUUACAUUAUUUAUAUUAAUGUUUAUUCCAAAAAAAUUGUUGAUUUGACAUCAGUUGUUAUGAAGUAAAGUACAAGUAAUCUGU